This 148-nucleotide microRNA precursor is filed under the name Arabidopsis lyrata. Its description in RNAcentral is "miR165a stem-loop (aly-MIR165a)". Its record names the gene aly-MIR165a. The stretch from base 24 to 131 matches the Rfam family "mir-166 microRNA precursor family". From Rfam's summary of the family: This family represents the plant microRNA (miRNA) precursor mir-166. Lineage: Eukaryota; Viridiplantae; Streptophyta; Magnoliopsida; Brassicales; Brassicaceae. The record is from miRBase by way of RNAcentral.
AUCAUGAGAAUUAAGCUAUUUCAGUUGAGGGGAAUGUUGUCUGGAUCGAGGAUAUUAUACAUAUAUACAUGUGUAUGUUGAUACAUGUGAUCAUAGAGAGUAUCCUCGGACCAGGCUUCAUCCCCCCCAACAUGUUAUUGCCUCUGAU